Molecule: long non-coding RNA, 918 nt
Organism: Dendrobium catenatum
Lineage: Eukaryota; Viridiplantae; Streptophyta; Magnoliopsida; Asparagales; Orchidaceae
Exons: 2
Source: RefSeq, a predicted model, not a curated record
CUAGGGUUUGCCUUUCAUCUUCUAUUUUCGUCGUUGUUGUUCGGCUCCGUUUGCUUUCGCAGGAGGUGCAGAGAUUGCAGGCGUCGCUUCUUCGGCUCCUUCGUGGCUGUUCGACUUCGCUCCUGCGACGACUUCAACCCGGAUCGGAAGUUACAGCAUUUUGAUCAGAAGCAAGAACGGGAGCUCGCUGGCUGUGAAGGAACUUCCAUCAAAAGAAGAAUAAGUUGCAUCAGACCGCCAUCCAGGGGGAAAGAUAAUGCAAUCGAUCAUUAUUGCCCCCAAAAAAUAUCCAUGAAUAAAAGAAGUGGUAGCAGCCAGAAUGAGCAAAAAGCAAAAAUUGUUGCAGUCAUUAGCCAGAGGUGAGAAGUAAAAAUUGAUCCACUAAAUCCAGAAAGGAUCAUCGACCACCAAUAAGAACAAAGACCAAAAUCGAUAUAGGUAACACCCCUUAAAAGAGAUCCAAAAGCUGAUAACCUUUAUUCUAAAUAUAAACUUUUGAAAAAACUCGCAGCGAAUGUUUUUUUUUUUUUGUGACGAGGAGCACUGUCCUUAGGCCAGUGUAAACCCCGGUCGACCUAGCAUGCAACCCACACCAAUUUACACGUACCAACACUUAAGGCUUUCAUUGAUUGCCAAGGGAUUCGAACCAGGGACCUGAGCUUUGCCCAGCCGGCUCUUCACCACCAAGACAAACAGUGAUGGGUAGCGAAUGUUAGUUGCUUACAAGAAACUUUUAUCAUAUAAUCUGCUUCAAUGGUUGCAGGAAUUUUUUAUAAUACAAUGUGCUUUAAGUUUUAUUUAAAUAAUUUUCACUUCUUCGUUAUUCAUCUAUUUUGCUUCAUUUAAAUGGAAAAUUUUGGAAUUAUAAUGUGAAUAUUUGUUAUUAGUUUUGCAAUCAAUAUACAUGCAACAAUUAUA